AGAGUUUGAUCCUGGCUCAGGACGAACGCUGGCGGCGUGCUUAACACAUGCAAGUCGAACGGAAAGGCCCUUCGGGGUACUCGAGUGGCGAACGGGUGAGUAACACGUGGGUGAUCUGCCCUGCACUUUGGGAUAAGCCUGGGAAACUGGGUCUAAUACCGAAUAGGACCACGCGCUUCAUGGUGUGUGGUGGAAAGCUUUUGCGGUGUGGGAUGGGCCCGCGGCCUAUCAGCUUGUUGGUGGGGUAAUGGCCUACCAAGGCGACGACGGGUAGCCGGCCUGAGAGGGUGACCGGCCACACUGGGACUGAGAUACGGCCCAGACUCCUACGGGAGGCAGCAGUGGGGAAUAUUGCACAAUGGGCGCAAGCCUGAUGCAGCGACGCCGCGUGAGGGAUGACGGCCUUCGGGUUGUAAACCUCUUUCAGUAGGGACGAAGCGAAAGUGACGGUACCUACAGAAGAAGGACCGGCCAACUACGUGCCAGCAGCCGCGGUAAUACGUAGGGUCCGAGCGUUGUCCGGAAUUACUGGGCGUAAAGAGCUCGUAGGUGGUUUGUCGCGUUGUUCGUGAAAACUCACAGCUUAACUGUGGGCGUGCGGGCGAUACGGGCAGACUAGAGUACUGCAGGGGAGACUGGAAUUCCUGGUGUAGCGGUGGAAUGCGCAGAUAUCAGGAGGAACACCGGUGGCGAAGGCGGGUCUCUGGGCAGUAACUGACGCUGAGGAGCGAAAGCGUGGGUAGCGAACAGGAUUAGAUACCCUGGUAGUCCAA
This 773-nucleotide ribosomal RNA is filed under the name uncultured bacterium. Its description in RNAcentral is "bacterial SSU rRNA". It matches the Rfam family "Bacterial small subunit ribosomal RNA", at positions 8 to 798 of the family's 1533-position model. The record is from RNAcentral.